AUUCCAGCUCCAAUAGCGUAUAUUAAAGUUGUUGCAGUUAAAAAGCUCGUAGUUGGAUUUGUGGUGAAUUGCAGCGUCCUCUUUUGGUCUUGCUGCAAUUUGCCAUCCUUGGGUGGAAUCUGUGUGGCAUUAGGUUGUCGCGCAGGGGAGGCUCAUCGUUUACUGUGAAAAAAUCAGCGCGUUCAAAGCAGGCUUAGGCCGUUGAAUGUAUUAGCAUGGAAUAAUAAGAUAGGGCCUUGGUACUAUUUUGUUGGUUUGUGCACCGAGGUAAUGAUUAAUAGGGACAGUUGGGGGUAUUCGUAUUCCAUUGUCAGAGGUGAAAUUCUUGGAUUUCUGGAAGACGAACUACUGCGAAAGCAUUUACCAAGGAUGUUUUC
This 377-nucleotide ribosomal RNA is filed under the name Encyonema sp. WJS-2015c. Its description in RNAcentral is "bacterial SSU rRNA". It matches the Rfam family "Eukaryotic small subunit ribosomal RNA", at positions 582 to 971 of the family's 1831-position model. The record is from RNAcentral. Lineage: Eukaryota; Bacillariophyta; Bacillariophyceae; Cymbellales; Encyonemataceae.